AGUGAACGCUGGCGGUAGGCCUAACACAUGCCAGUCGAACGGCAGCACAGUAAGAGCUUGCUCUUACGGGUGGCGAGUGGCGGACGGGUGAGGAAUACAUCGGAAUCUACUUUUUCGUGGGGGAUAACGUAGGGAAACUUACGCUAAUACCGCAUACGACCUACGGGUGAAAGCAGGGGAUCUUCGGACCUUGCGCGAUUGGAUGAGCCGAUGUCGGAUUAGCUAGUUGGCGGGGUAAAGGCCCACCAAGGCGACGAUCCGUAGCUGGUCUGAGAGGAUGAUCGGCCACCCUGGAACUGAGACACGGUCCAGACUCCUACGGGAGGCAGCAGUGGGGAAUAUUGGACAAUGGGCGCAAGCCUGAUCCAGCCAUACCGCGUGGGUGAAGAAGGCCUUCGGGUUGUAAAGCCCUUUUGUUGGGAAAGAAAAGCAGCAGGUUAAUACCCCGCUGUUCUGACGGUACCCAAAGAAUAAGCACCGGCUAACUUCGUG
Molecule: ribosomal RNA, 492 nt
Filed under: uncultured bacterium
Lineage: Bacteria
Description: partial 16S ribosomal RNA
Rfam family: Bacterial small subunit ribosomal RNA
Source: RNAcentral